AACGAACGCUGGCGGCAGGCCUAACACAUGCAAGUCGAGCGAGCAUUUCGGUGCUAGCGGCGGACGGGUGAGUAACGCGUGGGAACGUGCCCUUUUCUGCGGAAUAGUCCUGGGAAACUGGGGGUAAUACCGCAUACGCUCUUUUGGGGAAAGAUUUAUCGGAGAAGGAUCGGCCCGCGUUGGAUUAGGUAGUUGGUGGGGUAAUGGCCCACCAAGCCGACGAUCCAUAGCUGGUUUGAGAGGAUGAUCAGCCACACUGGGACUGAGACACGGCCCAGACUCCUACGGGAGGCAGCAGUGGGGAAUCUUAGACAAUGGGGGCAACCCUGAUCUAGCCAUGCCGCGUGAGUGAUGAAGGCCUUAGGGUUGUAAAGCUCUUUAAGCUGGGAAGAUAAUGACGGUACCAGCAGAAGAAGCCCCGGCUAACUCCGUG
This 433-nucleotide ribosomal RNA is filed under the name uncultured bacterium. Its description in RNAcentral is "partial 16S ribosomal RNA". It matches the Rfam family "Bacterial small subunit ribosomal RNA", at positions 29 to 507 of the family's 1533-position model. The record is from RNAcentral.